RNAcentral lists this long non-coding RNA (877 nucleotides) under Arabidopsis thaliana (thale cress). Its description in RNAcentral is "long non-coding RNA (ATHA_LNC000288)". Lineage: Eukaryota; Viridiplantae; Streptophyta; Magnoliopsida; Brassicales; Brassicaceae. The record is from RNAcentral.
GCCCUACCAGUGGUUAGAAGGCCGUCACUAAUUGCUAGAAUUCCGGCACAUAUCUUUAGUUCGGUAUCAUUCUUGGAGCAUAUGCCAACUAGAGGAGGUGAUAGUGGUGGUGUAAUAGCUGGUGGAGGAGGUGGUGUUGUUUGUGGCGGAGGCGGUUUUAAAGUUUGUGGAGGAAGUGGUGGUGGUGAGAUUGUUGGUGAUGGACCGGGACAGCUAAAGCCUUGUGGAAUCCUACGACCACAAACUUUAAAGAAGAUGCCGAAAUUGGGAGAGAGGGAAAAACGUGGUGCUCCUACCGAUUUACAAAAACAAGUAACUGCAUCAAGAUCAGACACAUUUCGGAUGAUGGAACAACAUGGUUCUGCUCUUCCAGUGGUUAGAAGACCGUCACUAAUUGCUAGAAUUCCGGCACAUAUCUUUAGUUCGGUAUCAUUCUUGGAACAUAUUCCAACCAGAGGAGGUGAUAGUGGUGGUGUGAUUGCUGGUGGAGGAGGUGGCGUGGUUUGUGGAGGAGACAACGGUGGCGGUAAGGGUUUUGGAGGAAGUGCCGGUGGUGUGGUCGCUAGUGGAGGUGGUGGUGUAAUAGCUGGUGGAGGAGGUGAUAGUGGAGGUGUAAUAGCUGGUGGAGGUGGUGGUGUAAUAGCUGGUGGAGGAGGUGGUGUGGUUUGCGGAGGAGACAACGGUGGCGGUAAGGGUUUUGGAGGAAGUGCUGGUGGUGUGGUCGCUACUGGAGGUGGUGAUGUGCUCUGUGGUGGAGGCGGUGGUUGGUCAUUGGCUGGCGGUGCUGGUUGAAAUGUUGGUGGAGUUGGCGGUUGGGGAUCGGGUUGCGGCGGAGGUGGUCCCGGAUUACAAAUACAAAUACAAGGUGGUGGUGGAG